This 660-nucleotide long non-coding RNA is filed under the name Pandoravirus dulcis. RNAcentral's name for it is "putative ncRNA". The record is from RNAcentral.
GAUCGGCCGGGCCGUUUGGAGCCGCACAGGCGUUGGGCCUGCGCAAUCGAUUCACACAUCCACUGCAGGACGUCCAGGCGACCGGCCUUGGCGGCGGCGCAAAGCACGCCGUCGACGGCGGGCUCGAGUCGCCGACGGGCAAACAGGCCCUGCACGAUGGCGAGGGGCGCGCCCGAUUCGACAACGCGACCCAAGCGUGAUCCGUGAGAGCGCACCAGCAGAUCAAACAGAUGGGCGGCAUCAAACACAGACGAUGCGCUCAUGCAAGCCACCACGUCGCUACAUGUGCCUAGACCCUGCGCGAUGAGGUCGAUGAUUUCGCGGGGCAUGGCCAAAAGGCCCGUGCUGUGCGCUGCGUCGUCUGCACCCACGGGCCCGGAACGGUGAGAGGCGGCCAUGGGGCAAGGCGCGUCACGAAUCAUGCUAAACAAUGACUAGUCAAAGGUCUCAAAACUGCAUAUGGACCUCGACGCAAUAGAAUCGCCGGCAGUGGCAGUCGUGCGCUUUGGCCCUUGCCCAGGCGUUAGGCAUGGUGUCACACUGCCACGCCGCCGUGUCGCGCAGGAAUCUGCAGCGGCGCACGAUGGCCAGCCCAACAGGAUCUGCAAAUCGGUGUACCCGCCACUUUUUGAAAAGAGAGAAAAAAACACUGUCCCGCAU